Molecule: long non-coding RNA, 321 nt
Filed under: Androctonus crassicauda
Lineage: Eukaryota; Metazoa; Arthropoda; Arachnida; Scorpiones; Buthidae
Source: RNAcentral
AUGAGCUUUAAAAAAUGCAAACAUUAGAGAGAGGAGGGAUUCACAAAUUACGGCGAAUUGAACCUGCAUUCUCCUACCGUCGGGGCCCCGAUGUGGCCAUUGCGCCACUGCGGCAGGUGGGCGAGUGUCCGAGUGUUCGCUAUUUGGGUGGAGCGGGGGAUUCCCGAGGUUUCAAAGGCGAUUUUCUCGAGGACGCUGGAGUGGUGGCCCCCAAUGUGGGGGUGAUUCUUCGUCUGCUCUUUGUGCUCUUUCGGAUGGCAGGGUGUCGGCGGGGUCCCAGACGCAUCGGGUGUGAUGUUCCCUUGUAAGACGAACUCGCAU